This 207-nucleotide long non-coding RNA is filed under the name Hordeum vulgare. RNAcentral's name for it is "long non-coding RNA (HVUL_LNC014369)". The record is from RNAcentral. Lineage: Eukaryota; Viridiplantae; Streptophyta; Magnoliopsida; Poales; Poaceae.
ACCCAAAAAACACACGUACAUGAGAGAAAAAGACCCAAAAAAGAUUAAUUUUACAAGCAUGUCUUAGAGGACACUAUGCUACUCUACGACCAGCACCACCCAGUGCUCCUCGAACGUCAGCCAAGGGUCAUCCGGCGUUCCUCGUCGUAGAUCCAGCCAUCCAAACCGAAGUCAUGAGAAUGCAUGUCUUUGCUGAAAAUGCUCCCA